GACGAACGCUGGCGGCGUGCUUAACACAUGCAAGUCGAACGGAAAGGCCCUGCUUUUGUGGGGUGCUCGAGUGGCGAACGGGUGAGUAACACGUGAGUAACCUGCCCUUGACUUUGGGAUAACUUCAGGAAACUGGGGCUAAUACCGGAUAGGAGCUCCUGCUGCAUGGUGGGGGUUGGAAAGUUUCGGCGGUUGGGGAUGGACUCGCGGCUUAUCAGCUUGUUGGUGGGGUAGUGGCUUACCAAGGCUUUGACGGGUAGCCGGCCUGAGAGGGUGACCGGCCACAUUGGGACUGAGAUACGGCCCAGACUCCUACGGGAGGCAGCAGUGGGGAAUAUUGCACAAUGGGCGGAAGCCUGAUGCAGCAACGCCGCGUGCGGGAUGACGGCCUUCGGGUUGUAAACCGCUUUCGCCUGUGACGAAGCGUGAGUGACGGUAAUGGGUAAAGAAGCACCGGCUAACUACGUGCCAGCAGCCGCGGUGAUACGUAGGGUGCGAGCGUUGUCCGGAUUUAUUGGGCGUAAAGGGCUCGUAGGUGGUUGAUCGCGUCGGAAGUGUAAUCUUGGGGCUUAACCCUGAGCGUGCUUUCGAUACGGGUUGACUUGAGGAAGGUAGGGGAGAAUGGAAUUCCUGGUGGAGCGGUGGAAUGCGCAGAUAUCAGGAGGAACACCAGUGGCGAAGGCGGUUCUCUGGGCCUUUCCUGACGCUGAGGAGCGAAAGCGUGGGGAGCGAACAGGCUUAGAUACCCUGGUAGUCCACGCUGUAAACGGUGGGUACUAGGUGUGGGGUCCAUUCCACGGGUUCCGUGCCGUAGCUAACGCUUUAAGUACCCCGCCUGGGGAGUACGGCCGCAAGGCUGAAACUCAAAGGAAUUGACGGGGCCCCGCACAAGCGGCGGAGCAUGCGGAUUAAUUCGAUGCAACGCGUAGAACCUUACCUGGGUUUGACAUGGAUCGGGAGUGCUCAGAGAUGGGUGUGCCUCCUUUGGGGUCGGUUCACAGGUGGUGCAUGCCUGUCGUCAGCUCGUGUCGUGAGAUGUUGGGUUAAGUCCCGCAACGAGCGCAACCCUUGUUCACUGUUGCCAGCACGUUAUGGUGGGGACUCAGUGGAGACCGCCGGGGUCAACUCGGAGGAAGGUGGGGAUGACGUCAAGUCCUCAUGCCCCUUAUGUCCAGGGCUUCACGCAUGCUACAAUGGCUGGUACAGAGAGUGGCGAGCCUGUGAGGGUGAGCGAAUCUCGGAAAGCCGGUCUCAGUUCGGAUUGGGGUCUGCAACUCGACCUCAUGAAGUCGGAGUCGCUAGUAAUCGCAGAUCAGCAACGCUGCGGUGAAUACGUUCCCGGGGC
Molecule: ribosomal RNA, 1345 nt
Filed under: uncultured bacterium
Lineage: Bacteria
Description: bacterial SSU rRNA
Rfam family: Bacterial small subunit ribosomal RNA
Source: RNAcentral